AGUCCAGGAGUGUGGUGCUCUACGGGCUUCUUGUGGGUGCGGGUGUGGCGCCGCGACUGAAACGAGGUGGCUGUGAUCUCGUGCUGCUGCGUCUUCUGUUGCUACGAGCUAGUACAUCUGUGGGACUUUGAGCGACGGAGGUUCAGCUUUCUUCUCCUCUUCCCAUCAGGUUACAUGGUGUGUAGCUGCUGAAAAAUGUGAAUGCUUGCUUGGGAAAUUGGGGAUCAACUGAUGUGUAGCUGCUGGACAAUGCUAAUAUGCUUAGCUUGUUGGAUUCGGAGACAGCGACGGUCGGUCCUGCGUUGCCCCUGUUGUUCGCUUGUUCGAUUCAAUCUACACAAACGCAGACUUUUCUAUACUGUAACUAUGCUUUUCUUUUACAUUAAGGACGGAGGAGACAUAUUUGUCUAGUUGGAUAUGAUCAUCGGAAAGUUGCACACA
Molecule: long non-coding RNA, 441 nt
Organism: Triticum dicoccoides
Lineage: Eukaryota; Viridiplantae; Streptophyta; Magnoliopsida; Poales; Poaceae
Exons: 2
Source: RefSeq, a predicted model, not a curated record